Molecule: ribosomal RNA, 508 nt
Filed under: uncultured bacterium
Lineage: Bacteria
Description: partial 16S ribosomal RNA
Rfam family: Bacterial small subunit ribosomal RNA
Source: RNAcentral
GAUGAACGCUAGCUACAGGCUUAACACAUGCAAGUCGAGGGGAAACGAUAUUGGAAGCUUGCUUCCGAUAGGCGUCGACCGGCGCACGGGUGAGUAACGCGUACCCAACCUGCCCAUCACUUGGGGAUAACCUUGCGAAAGUAAGACUAAUACCCAAUGACGUCUCUAGAAGACAUCUGAAAGAGAUUAAAGAUUUAUCGGUGAUGGAUGGGGAUGCGUCUGAUUAGCUUGUUGGCGGGGUAACGGCCCACCAAGGCGACGAUCAGUAGGGGUUCUGAGAGGAAGGUCCCCCACAUUGGAACUGAGACACGGUCCAAACUCCUACGGGAGGCAGCAGUGAGUAAUAUUGGUCAAUGGGCGAGAGCCUGAACCAGCCAAGUAGCGUGCAGGAAGACGGCCCUAUGGGUUGUAAACUGCUUUUAUAAGGGAAUAAAGUGGGAGUCGUGACUCCUUUUGCAUGUACCUUAUGAAUAAGGACCGGCUAAUUCCGUGCCAGCAGCCGCCGCAG